RNAcentral lists this ribosomal RNA (440 nucleotides) under uncultured bacterium. RNAcentral's name for it is "partial 16S ribosomal RNA". It matches the Rfam family "Bacterial small subunit ribosomal RNA", at positions 338 to 795 of the family's 1533-position model. The record is from RNAcentral.
CCUACGGGAGGCAGCAGUGGGGAAUAUUGCACAAUGGGGGAAACCCUGAUGCAGCGACGCCGCGUGAGUGAAGAAGUAAUUCGUUACGUAAAGCUCUAUCAGCAGGGAAGAAAAUGACGGUACCUGACUAAGAAGCCCCGGCUAACUACGUACCAGCAGCCGCGGUAAUACGUAGGGGGCAAGCGUUAUCCGGAUUUACUGGGUGUAAAGGGAGCGUAGACGGUGCGGCAAGUCUGGAGUGAAAUGCCGCGGCUUAACUGCGGAACUUCUUUGGAAACUGGCGAACUAGAGUGCGGGAGGGGUAAGCGGAAUUCCUAGUGUAGCGGUGAAAUGCGUAGAGAUUAGGAGGAACACCGGUGGCGAAGGCGGCUUACUGGACCGUAACUGACGUUGAGGCUCGAAAGCGUGGGGAGCAAACAGGAUUAGAUACCCCAGUAGUC